GUAUAUGGCCAUGCUAGCCUGAACAAGCCUGAUCCCAUCUGAUCUCAGAAGAUAAGCAUGGUUGGGCCUGGUUAGUACUCGGAUGGGAGACCACCUAGGAAGACCAGGUACUGUAGGCA
Molecule: ribosomal RNA, 119 nt
Filed under: Pteropus alecto (black flying fox)
Lineage: Eukaryota; Metazoa; Chordata; Mammalia; Chiroptera; Pteropodidae
Source: RNAcentral